GACAGAGGGGGCGAGCGUUGUCCGGAGUCACUGGGCGUAAAGCGCGCGCAGGCGGCAACCUUAGUGUCGUGUGAAAGCCCCCGGCUCAACCGGGGGAGGCCAUGGCAAACUGGGUCGCUCGAGCUGCGGAGAGGCCCCUCGAAGUGCCGGUGUAGCGGUGAAAUGCGUAGAGAUCGGCAGGAAGACCAAGGGGGAAGCCAGGGGGCUGGACGCAGGCUGACGCUGAGGCGCGACAGCGUGGGGAGCAAACCGG
RNAcentral lists this ribosomal RNA (253 nucleotides) under uncultured bacterium. Its description in RNAcentral is "partial 16S ribosomal RNA". It matches the Rfam family "Bacterial small subunit ribosomal RNA", at positions 524 to 776 of the family's 1533-position model. The record is from RNAcentral.